RNAcentral lists this ribosomal RNA (497 nucleotides) under uncultured bacterium. RNAcentral's name for it is "partial 16S ribosomal RNA". It matches the Rfam family "Bacterial small subunit ribosomal RNA", at positions 28 to 507 of the family's 1533-position model. The record is from RNAcentral.
GAUGAACGCUGGCGGCGUGCCUAAUACAUGCAAGUCGAGCGAACGGACGAGAAGCUUGCUUCUCUGAUGUUAGCGGCGGACGGGGGAGUAACACGUGGAUAACCUACCUAUAAGACUGGGAUAACUUCGGGAAACCGGAGCUAAUACCGGAUAAUAUUUUGAACCGCAUGGUUCAAAAGUGAAAGACGGUCUUGCUGUCACUUAUAGAUGGAUCCGAGCUGCAUUAGCUAGUUGGUAAGGUAACGGCUUACCAAGGCAACGAUGCAUAGCCGACCUGAGAGGGUGAUCGGCCACACUGGAACUGAGACACGGUCCAGACUCCUACGGGAGGCAGCAGUAGGGAAUCUUCCGCAAUGGGCGAAAGCCUGACGGAGCAACGCCGCGUGAGUGAUGAAGGUCUUCGGAUCGUAAAACUCUGUUAUUAGGGAAGAACAUAUGUGUAAGUAACUGUGCACGUCUUGACGGUACCUAAUCAGAAAGCCACGGCUAACUACGUG